RNAcentral lists this ribosomal RNA (434 nucleotides) under uncultured bacterium. RNAcentral describes it as "partial 16S ribosomal RNA". It matches the Rfam family "Bacterial small subunit ribosomal RNA", at positions 29 to 506 of the family's 1533-position model. The record is from RNAcentral.
AACGAACGCUGGCGGCAUGCCUAACACAUGCAAGUCGAACGAUUGCCUUCGGGUGAUAGUGGCGCACGGGUGCGUAACGCGUGGGAAUCUGCCCUUAGGUUCGGAAUAACAGCUGGAAACGGCUGCUAAUACCGGAUGAUAUCGCGAGAUCAAAGGUUUAUCGCCUGAGGAUGAGCACGCGUUGGAUUAGGUAGUUGGUGGGGUAAAGGCCUACCAAGCCGACGAUCCAUAGCUGGUCUGAGAGGAUGAUCAGCCACACUGGGACUGAGACACGGCCCAGACUCGUACGGGAGGCAGCAGUGGGGAAUAUUGGACAAUGGGCGCAAGCCUGAUCCAGCAAUGCCGCGUGAGUGAUGAAGGCCCUAGGGUUGUAAAGCUCUUUUACCCGGGAAGAUAAUGACGGUACCGGGAGAAUAAGCCCCGGCUAACUCCGU